AGUGAUGAUAGAGGUGCAACUAUUAAUAGUACGGACAUAUAAGAGCAGAACAAGCUCAUUUGGAAUAUGUUCGGAAAGGAAUCGUUGCCGAAGUGAUAAUUAGUUUGUUCCUAGUUAUUGCUGGUUGUGCAUUUAAGAGAUGUACGACUGUCAGAGUGAAUUCUGGAGAGCUAUCUCACAU
This 181-nucleotide non-coding RNA is filed under the name Caryophanon tenue. Its description in RNAcentral is "Lysine sequence". It matches the Rfam family "Lysine riboswitch aptamer". From Rfam's summary of the family: Riboswitches are metabolite binding domains within certain messenger RNAs that serve as precision sensors for their corresponding targets. Allosteric rearrangement of mRNA structure is mediated by ligand binding, and this results in modulation of gene expression. This family includes riboswitches that sense lysine in a number of genes involved in lysine metabolism, including lysC. Lineage: Bacteria; Bacillati; Bacillota; Bacilli; Caryophanales; Caryophanaceae. The record is from Rfam by way of RNAcentral.